This 440-nucleotide ribosomal RNA is filed under the name uncultured bacterium. RNAcentral's name for it is "partial 16S ribosomal RNA". It matches the Rfam family "Bacterial small subunit ribosomal RNA", at positions 338 to 795 of the family's 1533-position model. The record is from RNAcentral.
CCUACGGGAGGCAGCAGUAGGGAAUUUUGCGCAAUGGGCGAAAGCCUGACGCAGCAACGCCGCGUGAUCGAGACGCCCUUCGGGUUGUAAAGAUCUGUCAGUGGGGACGAAACUUGACGGUACCCACAGAGGAAGCACCGGCUAACUCCGUGCCAGCAGCCGCGGUAAUACGGGGGGUGCAAGCGUUGUCCGGAAUCAUUGGGCGUAAAGAGUUCGUAGGCGGCGCGUAAAGUCUGGUGUUAAAGGCAGAGGCUCAACUUCUGUACGGCACUGGAUACUUGCGAGCUAGAAUGCGGUAGAGGUAAAGGGAAUUCCUGGUGUAGCGGUGAAAUGCGUAGAUAUCAGGAGGAACAUCGGUGGCGUAAGCGCUUUACUGGGCCGUAAUUGACGCUGAGGAACGAAAGCCAGGGUAGCAAAUGGGAUUAGAUACCCCAGUAGUC